AUGAACGCUGGCGGCGUGCCUAAUACAUGCAAGUCGAGCGAACAGACGAGGAGCUUGCUCCUCUGACGUUAGCGGCGGACGGGUGAGUAACACGUGGAUAACCUACCUAUAAGACUGGGAUAACUUCGGGAAACCGGAGCUAAUACCGGAUAAUAUAUUGAACCGCAUGGUUCAAUAGUGAAAGACGGUUUUGCUGUCACUUAUAGAUGGAUCCGCGCCGCAUUAGCUAGUUGGUAAGGUAACGGCUUACCAAGGCAACGAUGCGUAGCCGACCUGAGAGGGUGAUCGGCCACACUGGAACUGAGACACGGUCCAGACUCCUACGGGAGGCAGCAGUAGGGAAUCUUCCGCAAUGGGCGAAAGCCUGACGGAGCAACGCCGCGUGAGUGAUGAAGGUCUUCGGAUCGUAAAACUCUGUUAUUAGGGAAGAACAAAUGUGUAAGUAACUAUGCACCUCUUGACGGUACCUAAUCAGAAAGCCACGGCUAACUACGUG
Molecule: ribosomal RNA, 496 nt
Filed under: uncultured bacterium
Lineage: Bacteria
Description: partial 16S ribosomal RNA
Rfam family: Bacterial small subunit ribosomal RNA
Source: RNAcentral